Long non-coding RNA from Coffea eugenioides, 589 nucleotides. RefSeq lists it as uncharacterized. The record is from RefSeq and is a predicted model, not a curated record. Lineage: Eukaryota; Viridiplantae; Streptophyta; Magnoliopsida; Gentianales; Rubiaceae. The transcript is spliced from 2 exons.
AAGAUCAGGUUGGCCGGGGCCCUAUGACAGUUCUAGACUUCUAGUUGGCGUCAGUAUAAUGAACGGAUAGAUCUUAGGUGAUGGAAGAAAGGGGUCUUACACUGCAUGCUGCUCUGUCUUCAUUUUGACAAGCAUUGGAAAGUCCAAAUACGAGCAAUCACUUGACUCUAUUUGACGGUUUAUUGCUAUUGCUGAGAGGGAGCUUGAAAUAUGUUAUAGACAUGUGGCACUUUAUGGCGACCCAAAUGCCCAGGAUCCGAACUCAAAUCCUUGAUAAACCAAGACCGAUAGAGUCGGCAAGGUUAAGUGAAAAGAGGACGCAUCUUUAUCCACCGAAGAAUGUUCUCAAAAUUUGUUUCAAACAGAACUUGAUAUGAUAGAUGAUGAAAUCUCAGAAUCUGAAGAAGUCUCUGAAUUUGAUGGUUAAGUGCUACAUAAUGAUGCAUCUGCAAGUGAAAUAGAUUAUGAGGACGAUGGAACUCAUAUUAGGGAAUUAUGGUCUUGUGAUCCUCUUCCACUAGAAUACUAGGUUUAGGAUCUGUACAUCAACAUCAAUCGAAUGCUAAUAAUUGAGAAUUUUCUCUGAGUA